AUGCAGUCCCGGCUCCUGCUCCUCGGGGCGCCCGGCGGCCACUGCGGCCCGGCCGCGCGGCGCGUGCGGCUGCUCCUGCGGCAGGUGGUGCGGGGCAGGCCGGGCAGCGACGGGUGGCGGCCGGAGGUCAGACUGCUGCACGCCGGGGCGGGGGCUGACACAGGUGAUACAGUCAAUAUUGGAGAUGUAUCCUACAAGUUGAAAACUCCUAAGAGCCCAGAACUUGUACCACAGAACUACAUUUCAGACUCUCUGGCUCAAGCUGUAGUUCAUCAUCUAAGAUGGAUAAUGCAGAAAGAUCUUUUGGGACAAGAUGUCUUUCUAAUAGGACCUCCUGGGCCUCUUCGACGCUCUAUUGCUAUGCAGUACUUGGAGCUGACCAAACGGGAGGUUGAAUACAUUGCCCUGUCAAGGGACACCACUGAAACUGACCUCAAACAGCGUAGAGAGAUCCGUGCUGGCACGGCUUUUUACAUUGAUCAGUGUGCAGUUCGUGCAGCCACGGAAGGCAGAACUCUUAUUCUGGAAGGUUUGGAGAAGGCGGAGAGGAAUGUCCUGCCUGUUUUGAAUAAUUUGCUGGAAAACAGGGAGAUGCAGCUUGAAGAUGGACGCUUCUUGAUGUCUGCUGAACGUUAUGACAAACUUCUUCAAGAUCAUUCUAAAACAGAGUUGGAUGCUUGGAAGAUUGUCCGCGUUAGUGAAAAUUUCCGAGUGAUUGCCUUGGGUUUGCCAGUACCUAGGUACUCUGGUAAUCCAUUAGACCCCCCUCUACGUUCUCGGUUUCAAGCUAGAGAUAUUUAUUAUCUACCCUUCAAGGACCAACUGAAACUGUUAUAUUCAAUUGGAGCCAAUGUUUCUGCUGAAAAAGUUUCUCAGCUUUUGUCCUUUGCCACGACUCUCUGUUCCCAAGAAUCUUCUACUCUUGGACUUCCAGACUUCCCUUUAGAUAGUUUACCAGCUGCAGUUCAAAUCCUGGAUUUCUUUCCUAUGAUGUCAAUCAAACAUGCAAUCCAGUGGCUUUACCCAUAUACUAUUUUACUAGGACAUGAAGGGAAGAUGGCUGUGGAGGAUGUUUUAAAACGCUUUGAACUCCAGGAUUCAAGAAGCUCUAUACUUCCUAAAGAGAUUUUAAGAGUGGAGAGGAUGACUGAAAACCAUGUCUCCCAAGCUUCUGUAACUAUCCAGAUUGCAGAAAAAGAAGUGACCAUUAAGGUGCCAGCUGGGACCAGACCAUUAAGUAAACCUUGUGCACCAGACCAUUUCAUACAGACUUUAAGCCAUAAGCAACUACUUGCUGAAAUGAUGCAGUCUCACAUGGUUAAGGACAUAUGCUUAAUUGGAGGAAAAGGUUGUGGAAAAACAGUCAUCGCGAAGAACUUUGCUGAUACUUUAGGAUACAGCAUAGAACCUAUCAUGCUCUAUCAGGAUAUGACAGCACGUGACCUCCUGCAGCAAAGGUACACCCUUCCAAACGGAGACACUGCCUGGAGGUCCUCACCACUCGUGAAUGCUGCUCUGGAAGGGAAGCUGGUACUCUUGGAUGGCAUCCACCGGGUCAACACGGGCACACUAGCUGUACUGCAGAGGUUAAUCCAUGAUCGAGAGCUAAGCCUCUAUGAUGGCUCUAGGCUGCUGAGAUUAGACAGGUACACACGUUUAAAAGAGGAGCUGCAAAUGUCUGAUGAGCAGCUACGGAAGAGAUCCAUUUUUCCUAUCCACCCUUCCUUCAGAAUCAUUGCCUUGGCGGAGCCCCCUGUUAUUGGAAGUACGACACAGCAGUGGCUGGGACCAGAAUUUUUAACCAUGUUCUUUUUCCAUUACAUGAAACCGCUUGUCAAAAGCGAAGAAAUGCAAGUGAUUAAGGAAAUGGUCCCACAUAUACCUCAGAAAGCUUUGGAGAAAUUAUUGUCCUUUACACACAAACUCAGAGAGACACAGGAUCCAACAGCACAAUCUUUAGCAGCAUCACUUUCUACCAGACAACUGUUGCGGAUUUCACGUCGCCUGUCACAGUAUCCUAAUGAAAAUCUUCAUCGUGCUGUUAAUAAAGCCUGCCUUUCCAGGUUUUUACCUACUCUUGCAAGCUCAGCAUUAGAAAAAAAUCUGGCAGAUGCUGCAAUAGGAACAACUGCUGAUAACAGUCCAGAGCCAGAACUAAAGGAUUACAGCUGUGAAGUAUCAGCUGGCUGUCUGAGGAUUGGAGCUGUUAGUGCACCGAUCUAUAAUGCCCAUGAGAAAAUGAAAGUACCAGAUGUUCUGUUCUAUGACAACAUUCAGCACAUGAUAGUGAUGGAAGAUAUGCUCAAAGACUUUCUUCUUGGAGAGCACUUAUUAUUGGUUGGUAACCAGGGUGUUGGAAAAAACAAGAUUGUUGACAGAUUCCUUCACCUGCUCAACAGACCCCGAGAAUAUAUCCAACUGCACCGGGACACCACAGUACAAACUCUUACUCUUCAGCCUUCUGUUAAAGAUGGACUUAUUGUGUAUGAAGACUCACCUUUAGUUAAAGCAGUAAAGUUGGGUCAUGUUCUGGUGGUAGAUGAGGCAGACAAAGCUCCAACAAAUGUCACCUGUAUUUUAAAAACUUUGGUAGAAAAUGGGGAAAUGAUUCUAGCAGAUGGAAGACGCAUUGUUGCAAAUUCUGCUAAUGUGGAUGGAAGAGAAAAUGUUGUAGUGAUUCAUCCUGAUUUUAGGAUGAUUGUUCUGGCCAACAGACCUGGAUUUCCUUUCCUAGGCAAUGAUUUCUUCGGUACAUUAGGUGAUAUUUUUAGCUGCCAUGCAGUUGACAACCCCAAGCCCCAGUCGGAACUCGAGAUGCUCAGACAGUAUGGACCAAAUGUGCCCGAGCCAAUCCUUCAGAAGCUCGUGGCUGCCUUCGGAGAGCUGAGGAGUUUGGCUGACCAGGGGAUUAUUAACUAUCCUUAUUCAACCCGAGAAGUUGUCAACAUAGUCAAACAUUUACAGAAAUUUCCCACCGAAGGUCUCUCCAGUGUGAUUAGGAAUGUGUUUGACUUUGACUCCUACAACAACGACCUGAGGGAGAUUUUGAUGAACACUUUACACAAAUACGGAAUACCUAUCGGAGCAAAACCGACCAGUGUGCAUCUGGCAAAGGAGUUGCCUCUACCAGAGCAGACUUUCAUGGGAUACUGGACAAUUGGUCAGUCAAAAAAUGGAAUGCAAAAAUUUUUGUGUCCAGCAGAAACUCAUCAAAUAGACGUAAAGGGUCCAGCACUUAUAAACAUUCAGGAAUAUCCAAUAGAAAGACGUGAAGAACGAUCCCUAAGCUUUACUGAAGAAUGUGCCUCCUGGAAAUUACCACUGGAUGAAAUUAACUUAAUCUGUGAUGUUGCUAUAGCACAUGAAAAUGAGGAAAAUACUCUCUAUGUAGUUGCUUGUAAUCCUGUUUCCUUAUACUUUAUGAAUAUGACUGGGAAAAGUGGCUACUUUGUGGACUUUUAUGACAUCUUCCCAAGAACAGCCAGUGGCGUUUGGCAUCCAUUUGUGACAGUGGCACCUCUGGGAAACCCCCUCAAAGGUCAAGUGGUUCUCCACGAGCAGCAGAGUAAUGUCAUCCUGUUGUUAGAUACCACUAGCCGGACCCUUCGUCGUCUCAUCCUCUUUUCAGAAGAAGAGGUUAAGAAAUUUUCCUGGUGGAACAAGGAAGAGACUGAAACUUAUAAAAUGUGUAAAGAAUUUUCUCACAAAAACUGGCUAGUAUUCUACAAAGAAAAAGGGAACAAACUGACUGUGCUGGAUGUUCUAGAAGGACGAACUCACACCAUCUCACUUCCCAUCAAUCUCAACACGGUUUUCCUUGUAGCGGAGGACAAGUGGCUUCUGGUGGAGAACGAAACACAUCAAAAAUAUCUUUUAACUAAGCCUGCGCACAGCGAAUCUGAGGACAGAGGGGUUUGCCAGUUGCAUGUGUUGAAAGAGGAGCCAGCUAGCACAGGGUUUGGAGUUACACCAGAAAUAGAGCUCAGCAUACCUCACAAAGUUUCAACUGAUCAACUAUCAUCUGGAAAUCUAAGUUCAGCUGUGGGACAAAAGAUUGCAUCUCCCAACCGAAUUCUCUCAGAUGAGAAUAGUUAUGCUACAAUAGUGGUUGGGUUCCCAGAUCUCAUGUCACCUAGUGAAGUUUAUUCUUGGAAAAGGCAGUCAUCUUUGAGGAAACCAAGUGUCACUGACUUAGCAUUCUAUGGAGGAAAGAAGAAAAAUGGGGCUCCAAAACAAAGGAAUUGUGUGACUCUUUUAGACACCAAUCAAAUAGUCAGAAUUUUGCCCCCAGGAGAAGUUCCUCUAAAAGAUAUCUACCCAAGAGAUGUUACCCCUCCACAAAAAGCUGGUUAUAUAGAAGUUACCGAUCUUCAGUCCAAGAAACUCCGAUACAUCCCUAUUCCAAGAUCAGAAUCUCUCUCACCAUACACCACAUGGCUCUCCACCAUCACGGACGCAGACGCGCUGCUUGCUGAGUGGGGCAAAGGUGGCGUCGUCACUGUUGAUAUGGGAGGGUGCGUCAGGCUUUGGGAGACUGGCCUUGAACAUCUGCAGCGAUCGCUCAUGGAAUGGAGAAACAUGAUUGGACAAGAAGAUGACAGGCAUAUACAGAUAACAGUCAACAGAGAUAGUGGUAAAGAUGUGAGCGCCCCCAAACACGGAAAGGAGGACCCAGACAACAUGCCGCACGUGGGCGGCAACACCUGGGCUGGCGGAACAGGGGGAAGAGACACUGCAGGCUUGGGGGGCAAAGGAGGGCCUUACCGGCUGGACGCGGGCCAUACCGUGUACCAGGUCUCUGAAGCUGAGAAAGAUGCCGUUCCCGAGGAAGUGAAGAGAGCUGCAAGAGAGAUGGGCCAGAAAGCAUUUCAGCAGCGGCUAAAGGAGAUCCAAAUGAGUGAAUAUGAUGCUGCAUCCUAUGAAAGGUUUUCAGGUGCUGUUCGACGACAGGUGCACUCCCUCCGAGUCAUCCUGGAUAACUUACAGGCUAAAGGUAAAGAAAGACAGUGGCUAAGACACCAAGCUACUGGGGAACUGGAUGAUGCCAAGAUCAUUGAUGGGCUGGCUGGAGAGAAAACCAUCUAUAAACGUCGAGGCGAGCUAGAGCCACAACUGGGCAGCCCUCAGCAGAAACCCAAGCGACUGCGGCUGGUGGUGGAUGUGUCCGGCAGCAUGUACCGCUUCAACGGGGUGGACGGCCGGCUCGAGCGCUCAAUGGAGGCUGUAUGUAUGGUCAUGGAAGCCUUUGAGAACUAUGAAGAGAAGUUCAAGUAUGACAUCGUUGGACACUCUGGAGACACCUACAACAUUGACCUGGUUCCAAUUAACAACGUCCCCAAGGACAAUAAGCAAAGACUAGAGAUUCUGAAGACAAUGCAUGCCCACGCCCAGUUCUGCAUGAGUGGGGACCAUACGCUGCAGGGGACAGAACACGCCAUCAAGGAAAUUGUCAGAGAAGAAGCUGACGAGUACUUUGUCAUAGUCUUGAGUGAUGCCAAUCUGUCACGAUACGGAAUUCACCCAGCCAGGUUUGCCCAGAUCCUGACAAGCAACCCUCAAGUAAAUGCAUUUGCCAUUUUUAUUGGCUCUUUAGGUGAUCAAGCAACCAGUCUUCAGAGAACUUUACCAGCUGGUCGGUCUUUCGUUGCCAUGGAUACUAAGGACAUCCCUCAGAUUUUACAACAGAUCUUCACCUCCACCAUGUUGUCCAGUGUUUAAGAAAUGCCCUUCAUCACCCUGAUGACCCUGGGAUUUGAAGUAAGAUCUGAAUAAAGAAAACUGAAGAAAAGGAGACCUCUAUAAAGUGGACCCGUGCAAUGACUGAAUACGCCUGGCAUUCCUGGGUCUUUCAACACUUAGCUUACUCAGUAAUCAGAAUUCAGGAAAGCAGCCAGAGGGAGGCUUGGGCAUGGAAAUCUACAACCAUUGAAGGAUUUAGAAGUCAUUAGAGGAAUGAGCCCGUGUAACGCUGAGAAGGUUCAUUGUUCCCCGUGCACGGCCCGAAGGAAUGAAUGUUAUGAAUAGCUGCAGUAGACGAUGUGCAUCCCCCCUGGAAGCUUUUGUGCCGCAGCAAGAUGACCUCAUCCCAGAUGGGGCGGCUCCACCGCAGCCCAAGGAGCAGAUCAGAGCAGAAGUACUUGAGCCCAUCAGAUGUUUGAAAUGAAUCAUUUAAUUCUUUACACUACACCCUUUCCUGUUGGCGAGGGGGGGCAGGAAUCAAUCAAUGCCAGCAAGAUUUUCUCUAAAUAAACUCGAGGGCUCUGAAAGCCAUUUAGAAGUGGUUUUCCGCAGACAGCAUUGUCAGUCUUCCUGAAAGGCCAGCUCCAGAGGCUCAGCCCUCUCUCCACCUGGCUCCUUCCUGUGCACGUCAGCUCAGACAAAAUUAAAUUCCUCCACGAACAGGACAGAGAGAUACAGGCUGGGGGAGCCCCAGGGACAAUCCCUUAUUUAUGGCCUCGCUGUCUUUGUUGCCAGCAGUAGCAGUUCUCAGUAAUACCCAACAAAUUCGAGGCUGCUCUCUCCUACGUUGGCAACUUCUUUCUGGAAUUGUGUCUCAGAAAGAAUUAAAUGUCCACUUGUGCUCAGUUAAUUGAAUUUAACUUUUCAUUUGAUUAAGAAAUAAAAUGUCCACUUUAAAAAAAGAAUCAUUCCAACCAGCAAUAUAUAUAGUAUUUUACAGCACUUAAAUGAAGAGGCUAAUUUGCUUCCAGUUUCUGGUCAGGGUUGUAAGUUCCUACCAUUUUUCUUUUCUUUACCUUUUUUUUUAAGACUUGCCAUGGCAAAAGUACUACAGGUAAGGGAAAGGAAUUCCAAUUUUCCAUCUUAUAAUGGGGAAAAUUUACAAACUCUAGACAGAAUUAGUCAAAAGGAAAUUCUAAACCCUGCUCCGCCAUUAACCAUCCAGGUAAACUUGGGCUGGUCACUUUCGGGGCUCAGUUGCCCCAUCGAUGAAUUAAAUGGCUUAGACAUAAAGGGCACCUCACUCUAAAGCCUGGUGUUCUGCAUCCAGAGAUUGACUUUGUCAUUCGCCUUUCUUUUAAGAGCCACUUCGUUGCAGUGUACAUUUUGUCCCCAGGACCCCACAUACCCAUUAGUGAAGGGCCACCCAUCUGCCACUGUACAGAGGAUCUGGGCAUCUGUAUCAAUUGCCUGAACAAAAUAGCAUCACUGACAAAAUACACAUUUUAAAAGAUACGUAAAUAUCAUGAGAGUUGGACGAGAGGGGCUUUCCUGUCAGUGAACAGGUAUUUUGGUUUGAUAGUCAUUCCCAAGCUUUCGCUUUUCUCCCUUACUCUGCACUUUGCUUCCUUCAAGUAUAUUUAUGUAUCUGCUGAUCCGCCCAGUGGGAAUCGAAAAGGAUGAGGAGUUGGAAGACUACUGAGUGCCGAGAAUGACGGCUGAUCUCUGUGCCACGGCUGUACAGUGCCCACUUGUGUGGGUUUUCUUCUUAAUUGUUAAAUCCUGGCAAACAAAAGUCUCCUCCACAGGGGAAAAAUGCUUGCCAAGCAAACAUCUCAAGUUGAGAAGGGUUGACACUCUUCUUUGAGACUUCGCGCUGUCUGAGGCCCUAACCUGCAAACAGAGACUGCGUCUGUUCCGGCACAGCUGCACACGUGGGCUUUGGAAUGCCAGGCUUACAUAAUUUUUAAAUCGCGUGCUGCUUGUGGUAUUUGGCCACUCCGAGCAAAGUACAACACCCUUUUAAGGCGGUUUGGGCCCAGAGGAUGGAGAGAACGUCAUGUUCUGCUAUAAGAAAUCUCAUCAAGGGGGCAUGUAAACUCUAAGGCACAUCAGCUCCUUUGGCAGGCGCUGGGAAACCCCUAAGCUGUCCCUCUUCUCACAGGCUUCAUUGAAAGGACUUGGAGCUGGCCCUGAAGGAACAAUCAGAAGUGUUUGUCAAUAAGCUCAGACUCCAGCGGUGGUGGGCAUGAUCCAGAUGAGUGUCAGGAUCUAAGGAUUUAUUAAAUCUAAAUGCCACUCUGAAGCAUUAGUAAUGUAGCUGGAUUUUGACCUGGAGAGGGAUGGGAACAAGGUCUGUCUGAACAUCCUAAAGCAAGUUUGUCUCCUUACACAGGCCGGAAUGUGGCGAGGAAAGAAUGAGCCUGUCAACAUAAUUUGUGUAAUUGUUCUCAUUACUUCACGGUCAUACAUGAAGCCUUGUUGAUUCAAGCUUGAUGAAAAGUGAGUCCGUUUACGCAGGCAGUACGUUAAAGUUGGUUUGUCAAAUGCAAUAUAUUUAUGUUAAUAAAUACUGAUGCUAAUUUAA
RNA transcript from Choloepus didactylus (southern two-toed sloth), 8266 nucleotides. It is a transcript of the gene named von Willebrand factor A domain containing 8, with no coding region annotated. The transcript is spliced from 46 exons. The record is from RefSeq and is a predicted model, not a curated record. NCBI's taxonomy places the organism in Eukaryota, Metazoa, Chordata, Mammalia, Pilosa, Megalonychidae.